This 372-nucleotide ribosomal RNA is filed under the name uncultured organism. RNAcentral describes it as "bacterial SSU rRNA". It matches the Rfam family "Bacterial small subunit ribosomal RNA", at positions 526 to 896 of the family's 1533-position model. The record is from RNAcentral.
CAGAGGGUGCGAGCGUUGUCCGGAAUCACUGGGCGUAAAGGGCGCGUAGGUGGCGACCCAAGUCAAUGGUGAAAGCUCGCCGCUUAACGGCGAGUCGGCCACUGAUACUGGGUUGCUCGAGCACUGUAGAGGCUAAUGGAAUCCCGGGUGUAGCGGUGGAAUGCGUAGAGAUCCGGAAGAACACCGGUGGCGAAGGCGGUUAGCUGGGCAGUUGCUGACACUGAGGCGCGACAGCGUGGGGAGCAAACAGGAUUAGAUACCCUGGUAGUCCACGCCGUAAACGAUGGGCACUAGAUGCUUGGGGGAGCGACCCCCUGAGUGUCGCAGCUAACGCAUUAAGUGCCCCGCCUGGGGAGUACGGCCGCAAGGCUG